Molecule: ribosomal RNA, 378 nt
Filed under: Triticum aestivum (bread wheat)
Lineage: Eukaryota; Viridiplantae; Streptophyta; Magnoliopsida; Poales; Poaceae
Description: partial small subunit ribosomal RNA
Source: RNAcentral
AUGAUUCCGAAAACAUUAUGUGAUUUGCUUGGUUUCCGUGAUUUUGAUGAUUGUUCUUUAAACUUGCACCUUGCGGAUUCCACUAUUAAGAAACCUAUUGGAAGAAUUAAUGAUGUUCUUAUUGUUGCAAAUAGGAACUAUGUGCCCGUAGAUUUCAUUGUUCUUGACAUAGAUUGUAAUCCUUCAUGUCCUAUUAUUCUUGGUAGACCUUUCCUUAGAACGAUUGGUGCAAUUAUUGAUAUGAAGGAAGGGAACAUUAAAUUCCAAUUUCCAUUAAGGAAAGGCAUGGAACACUUCCCUAGAAAGAAAAUUAAAUUACCAUAUGAAUCUAUUAUAAGAGCCUCUUAUGGAUUGCCUACCAAAGAUGGCAAUACCUAG